UUAAGCUGUAGAUUAGUUGCUGGUAAAGUAUGGUUUCAGCUUCAAGGUUAGAAAUAUCAAAUAAUUAUUUCGUAGAAGCACAUUUGCAAAAGGUCUUUGAAAUUGAUGGUAUGAUGAAGGUGUGUACCAUAUAAGAAGUUGGCCAAUGUUUUUGGUUGACGACGAUGCGAACAUUCUUGUCUCAGAUUGUGGGUUAGCCCUGUGAGUCAGGUAUACUGCUAAAACCCAAAGAUCUUGGUUCUUAUGGUUUAACCUUUUCAUUCUCCAAGAUCCAAAACAACAAACUCCUUUUUUUCUUAUCAUCAUGAUCAUUUAUCAGGACCAACUACUAGCCUCCUAUGUACUAUGGAGCACCAGAAUUUGACUCAGGAGUCUAUU
RNAcentral lists this long non-coding RNA (378 nucleotides) under Capsella rubella. RNAcentral's name for it is "long non-coding RNA (CRUB_LNC002382)". Lineage: Eukaryota; Viridiplantae; Streptophyta; Magnoliopsida; Brassicales; Brassicaceae. The record is from RNAcentral.